UACGUAGGGUGCGAGCGUUGUCCGGAAUUACUGGGCGUAAAGAGCUCGUAGGUGGUUUGUCGCGUUGUCCGUGAAAUCUCACAGCUCAACUGUGGGCGUGCGGGCGAUACGGGCAGACUGGAGUACUGCAGGGGAGACUGGAAUUCCUGGUGUAGCGGUGGAAUGCGCAGAUAUCAGGAGGAACACCGGUGGCGAAGGCGGGUCUCUGGGCAGUAACUGACGCUGAGGAGCGAAAGCGUGGGGAGCGAACAGG
Molecule: ribosomal RNA, 253 nt
Filed under: uncultured bacterium
Lineage: Bacteria
Description: partial 16S ribosomal RNA
Rfam family: Bacterial small subunit ribosomal RNA
Source: RNAcentral